This 1449-nucleotide long non-coding RNA is filed under the name Ficedula albicollis (Collared flycatcher). RNAcentral describes it as "lncRNA (ENSFALG00000027155.1)". The record is from RNAcentral. Lineage: Eukaryota; Metazoa; Chordata; Aves; Passeriformes; Muscicapidae.
AUGGUGACAUUUGUAGCACUCACUGGCACAAAGGGACAAGGUAAAACCUCCGUGUUCUAUCAGCCAAGCCGAGACCGUGCCCGUCCUGCCGUGCCCCCUCACACACACAGCGCUCUCCCGGGCCGUGCCCUCACACACACAGCGCUCUCCCGGGCCGUGCCCUCACACACACAGCGCUCUCCCGGGCCGUGCCCUCACACACACAGCGCUCUCCCGGGCCGUGCUCACACACACAGCGCUCUCCCGGGCCGUGCCCUCACACACACAGCGCUCUCCCGGGCCGUGCUCACACACACAGCGCUCUCCCGGGCCGUGCCCUCACACACACAGCGCUCUCCCGGGCCGUGCUCACACACACAGCGCUCUCCCGGGCCGUGCCCUCACACACACAGCGCUCUCCCGGGCCGUGCUCACACACACAGCGCUCUCCCGGGCCGUGCCCUCACACACACAGCGCUCUCCCGGGCCGUGCUCACACACACAGCGCUCUCCCGGGCCGUGCCCUCACACACACAGCGCUCUCCCGGGCCGUGCUCACACACACAGCGCUCUCCCGGGCCGUGCCCUCACACACACAGCGCUCUCCCGGGCCGUGCUCACACACACAGCGCUCUCCCGGGCCGUGCCCUCACACACACAGCGCUCUCCCGGGCCGUGCUCACACACACAGCGCUCUCCCGGGCCGUGCCCUCACACACACAGCGCUCUCCCGGGCCGUGCUCACACACACAGCGCUCUCCCGGGCCGUGCCCUCACACACACAGCGCUCUCCCGGGCCGUGCCCUCACACACACAGCGCUCUCCCGGGCCGUGCCCUCACACACACAGCGCUCUCCCGGGCCGUGCCCUCACACACACAGCGCUCUCCCGGGCCGUGCCCUCACACACACAGCGCUCUCCCGGGCCGUGCCCUCACACACACAGCGCUCUCCCGGGCCGUGCCCUCACACACACAGCGCUCUCCCGGGCCGUGCCCUCACACACACAGCGCUCUCCCGGGCCGUGCCCUCACACACACAGCGCUCUCCCGGGCCGUGCCCUCACACACACAGCGCUCUCCCGGGCCGUGCCCUCACACACACAGCGCUCUCCCGGGCCGUGCCCUCACACACACAGCGCUCCCGGGCCGUGCCCUCACACACAGAGCGCUCCCGGGCCGUGCCCUCACACACAGAGCGCUCUCCCGGACCGUGCCUUCACACACACAGCGCUCUCCCGGGCCGUGCCCUCACACACACAGCGCUCUCCCGGGCCGUGCCCUCACACACACAGCGCUCUCCCGGGCCGUGCCCUCACACACACAGCGCUCCCGGGCCGUGCCCUCACACACAGAGCGCUCCCGGGCCGUGCCCUCACACACACAGCGCUCUCCCGGGCCGUGCCCUCACACACAGAGCACUCCCGGGCUGGCCUCGUCCCGCUCCCCUCCCUCACGCCGGCAGCUCCUAA